Molecule: ribosomal RNA, 251 nt
Filed under: uncultured Staphylococcus sp.
Lineage: Bacteria; Bacillati; Bacillota; Bacilli; Caryophanales; Staphylococcaceae
Description: partial 16S ribosomal RNA
Rfam family: Bacterial small subunit ribosomal RNA
Source: RNAcentral
ACGUUAGCGGCGGACGGGUGAGUAACACGUGGGUAACCUACCUAUAAGACUGGGAUAACUUCGGGAAACCGGAGCUAAUACCGGAUAAUAUUUCGAACCGCAUGGUUCGAUAGUGAAAGAUGGUUUUGCUAUCACUUAUAGAUGGACCCGCGCCGUAUUAGCUAGUUGGUAAGGUAACGGCUUACCAAGGCGACGAUACGUAGCCGACCUGAGAGGGUGAUCGGCCACACUGGAACUGAGGCACGGUCCAG